Molecule: non-coding RNA, 65 nt
Organism: Cricetulus griseus (Chinese hamster)
Lineage: Eukaryota; Metazoa; Chordata; Mammalia; Rodentia; Cricetidae
Source: Rfam
GUGAUACUCAAACUAUGGGGCACUUUGUGUUCUGGAAAAUAGUGCCGCCAGGUUUUGAGCACUAC